Long non-coding RNA from Fundulus heteroclitus (mummichog), 150 nucleotides. RefSeq lists it as uncharacterized. The record is from RefSeq and is a predicted model, not a curated record. The transcript has 2 exons. NCBI's taxonomy places the organism in Eukaryota, Metazoa, Chordata, Actinopteri, Cyprinodontiformes, Fundulidae.
UUGGCAGCUCGCUUAACAAUUCACUUAUCAAUUCCAGGGAGCAUCAGAGCCAGGCAGCACGAUUUACGUCACGUUUUUUACGCAAAAAAGCAAAACAAAAAAAAUGGCGCCCCAUCGGGGAAAGCGAUCAAAAGUCCGGUCAACAAGGAA